UAUGACCCGGUGCCGGUGGCCUCGAUGGAGGGCCUGGAGCUGGGCUCGGCCGGCCCCGGCUCCAACUACGGCCCGCUCGACCCGGUGGGCGUGCCGGCGCCCGGCUCCGGGCCGCCCGACAUGGCCUUCGACAACAUGGUCGACCUGCCGCCGCAGCCGCCGCGCGACAACAACCAGGUGGCCGCCUGGUACGACACGGACCUGUAGCGGGCGGCGCCGCGGCCGCUCCGCCCACUCCGGGACGGCCGGCCGCUCCCAGCAACACCUGGCGUCCCGCACGCCAUCUGGCGGACGUCCGCACCGUCUGCCCCGUGACGACGCCGCGAGACGCCGGCAGUACCAGAUUCCACUCGAUUUCCGCGUUGAUUUGGUGGUUGGAGGCGUGUAACCCGGUCCGGAUGUGGGACGAAGUGUGUGGGCACGGGGAGAUUAUGCACUGUGCAGCUAUUUUUAAUGUGGCGUGGAGGGCGGGCAGCCCGGCCGUAGAUCAUGGAAGCUAUCACUAGCUGGCUAGAUGCGGCGUAAUCAUUGUAUUCCAAUACAUCUUUUCUAUCGCUUA
This is a long non-coding RNA of Pollicipes pollicipes, 559 nucleotides long. RefSeq lists it as uncharacterized. The transcript is spliced from 2 exons. NCBI's taxonomy places the organism in Eukaryota, Metazoa, Arthropoda, Thecostraca, Pollicipedomorpha, Pollicipedidae. The record is from RefSeq and is a predicted model, not a curated record.